GAUUGGAGGAGGCGCAGCUGCUGCGGCUGCUGGGGGCGGAGCUUCGGCUGAGGGGCGGAGCCAAGGUCACGUGGGAGGAAACCCUGCGGGCGCUCAGCCCAGCCAAGAUGGCUGCCGAGAUGUGGGGGCUGCUCAGGGACCUGCGCUGGCUGCUGGAAGCAUGCGGCGCCCCAUUGGACGCUCCCGGUUCCCGCCUUUACCUUGCCGGCUCCCGAUUGGCUGAAGCCGUUCGGACCUUCUUGGGGGCGGGGCUAAAGGGACGCCCCACCCGUGGUGGCCACGCCCCUUCCGGCGGACGUGACGUCAUGGCGACGGCGAGGAUGCUAUUGGCUGGUGAGAGAGGGGGGGCGGGGCCAAGAGGACACCAUGGGGCUCUAUGGGAAUCUAUGGGGCUCUAUGGGGAUCUAUGGGGUCAGUGGGGCACUAUGGGGUACUAUGGGGCUCUAUGGGUCUCUAUGCGGUUCUAUGGGGUUUCUGUGGGGCUCUAUGGGGUCUCUAUGGGGCUCUAUGGGUUUCUAUGGGGUUUCUAUGGGGAUCUAUGGGUCUCAAUGGGGCUCUAUGGGGCUCUAUGGGGUUCUGUGGGGUUCUAUGGGGUCAGUGGGGCUCUAUGGGGUCUCUAUGGGGUUCUGUGGGGUUCUGUGGGGUCAGUGGGGCUUUAUGGGGUCUCUAUGGGUCUCUAUGGGGUCUCUAUGAGGAUCUAUGGGGCUCUAUUGGGUUUUUAUGGGGCUCUUUGGGGUUUCUAGCGAUCUCUAUGGGACUUUAUGGGGUCUCUAUGGGUCCCUACAGGGCUCUAUAGAUCUCUAUAGGGUUUUAUGGGGUCUCUAUGGGGAUCUGUGGGGUCCCCAUGGGGAUCUAUUGGUCUCUAUGGGGCUGGUAUGGGGUUCUAUGGGGCUCUAUGGGGUUCUAUGGAUCUCUAUGGGCUCUAUGGGGUCUCUAUGGGGUUCUAUGGUGUUUCUAAGGGGCUCUAUGGGGCUCUAUGGGGCUCUGUGGGGUCUCUAUGGGGCUCUAUGGGGUCUUUAUAGGGUUUCUAUGGGAUCAGUGGGGCUUUAUGGGGUUCUAUGGGGCUCUAUGGGUCUUAUGGGGUUCUAUGGGAAUCUAUGGGGUUCUAUGGGGCUCUAUGGGGUUCUAUAGGGUUUCUAUGGGGUUCUGUGGGGUUCUAUGGGGUCAGUGGGGCUUUAUGGGGUCUCUAUGGGUCUCUAUGGUGCUCUAUGGGUCUCUGUGGGUCCCUAUGGGGUCCCUAUGGGGUUACUAUGGGUCCCUAUGGGACUCUAUGGGUCUCUAUGGGGUUCUAUAGGGUUCUGUGGGGCUCGAUGGGGCUCUAUGGGGUUCUAUGGGGUCAGUGGGGCUUUAUGGGGUCUCUGUGGGGCUCUAUGGGGCUCUGUGGGGUUCUGUGGGGUCUCUGUGGGGCUCUAUGGUGUCUCUAUAGGGUUUCUAUGGGGUCAGUGGGGCUUUAUGGGGUUCUAUGGGUCUCUGUGGGUCUCUAUGGGGACCUAUGGGGUUCUAUGGAUCUCUAU
This 1514-nucleotide long non-coding RNA is filed under the name Phasianus colchicus (ring-necked pheasant). RNAcentral describes it as "lncRNA (ENSPCLG00000015919.1)". The record is from RNAcentral. Lineage: Eukaryota; Metazoa; Chordata; Aves; Galliformes; Phasianidae.